GACGAACGCUGGCGGCGUGCUUAACACAUGCAAGUCGAACGGAAAGGCCCUGCUUUUGUGGGGUGCUCGAGUGGCGAACGGGUGAGUAACACGUGAGUAACCUGCCCUUGACUUUGGGAUAACUUCAGGAAACUGGGGCUAAUACCGGAUAGGAGCUCCUGCUGCAUGGUGGGGGUUGGAAAGUUUCGGCGGUUGGGGAUGGACUCGCGGCUUAUCAGCUUGUUGGUGGGGUAGUGGCUUACCAAGGCUUUGACGGGUAGCCGGCCUGAGAGGGUGACCGGCCACAUUGGGACUGAGAUACGGCCCAGACUCCUACGGGAGGCAGCAGUGGGGAAUAUUGCACAAUGGGCGGAAGCCUGAUGCAGCCACGCAGCGUGCGGGAUGACGGCCCUCGGGUUGUAACCCGCUUUCGCCUGUGACGAAGCGUGAGUGACGGUAAUGGGUAAAGAAGCACCGGCUAACUACGUG
This 468-nucleotide ribosomal RNA is filed under the name uncultured bacterium. RNAcentral describes it as "partial 16S ribosomal RNA". It matches the Rfam family "Bacterial small subunit ribosomal RNA", at positions 28 to 507 of the family's 1533-position model. The record is from RNAcentral.